RNAcentral lists this long non-coding RNA (964 nucleotides) under Daucus carota (carrot). Its description in RNAcentral is "long non-coding RNA (DCAR_LNC004410)". The record is from RNAcentral. Lineage: Eukaryota; Viridiplantae; Streptophyta; Magnoliopsida; Apiales; Apiaceae.
UUCCAUACUAUUUGGCUUCUCUUUGAAUUGGCCAUGGGAAGAUAAAACGUGGCACAGCUUCUCUGAUGGUAGUCUCUCAUCAUGGUUGAUAAAUGAUAACUGACCGUCCUGGUUACUUGGUGGUUCAGUACAAAAUGCCAAGGUUCUCGAUGAAUCUGUAAAAAUAGCUGGCCUGAUCGUCUGGUUAAACCCACCUUUGCCACUGGCGAGCUGGAAUCCGGGGGUAUUAUCUGAAAAACGCUUUGUGAGAGCAUAUCUAUCUGAAUUUCUGAUGAAGAUGCAAUCCUUUUAUUUUUUUCUAUUCCUCGCUGCAUCAUUAAGUCUUGCUGAAAGUGUCUUGAGGAUUCAUAACUGAUAGCAUUGCCAUCAUGAUGAACCAUAAUCUGAUUGUCCAUCCAAACUUUUUGCCCCUCGUGUGAAUUUCUGUAAUUUUUACCAAUAGAGAAUUCUUGGCCCAUCAAUCGCAUUGUUGGUUGAGUGCCAUUUCCUAAGAUAAGAUUAGGGUGCCUUUCCGGAUACAUGUUUCUAUCAUUAGAGUAAUUCUGUGACUGAUCAGUUCUGUUGCUCUGACUAGGAAGGCUCAUCAAGUUGAUACCUGAUUUAUAAGGAUAGAUGGGAUCGCAACUUCGAAAUUCUAAGGACGCAUCUGUCCCACUCGUAGUGCCCAAACUAGAUGAUUCCAUACUAUUUGGCUUCUCUUUGAAUUGGCCAUGGGAAGAUAAAACGUGGCACAGCUUCUCUGAUGGUAGUCUCUCAUCAUGGUUGAUAAAUGAUAACUGACCGUCCUGGUUACUUGGUGGUUCAGUACAAAAUGCCAAGGUUCUCGAUGAAUCUGUAAAAAUAGCUGGCCUGAUCGUCUGGUUAAACCCACCUUUGCCACUGGCGAGCUGGAUAUAUUCUCCAUGUGAAUUUAGAGGCAAUCCCGUAUAAUCUCCAUUUCUGGGCCUUCCCAAAUGCACCUCAC